AUGUGGUCGUAUGAGGUACACAUUCAAGACUUUGAGAGCAACAUGGAGAUGUUAACUCCUGAAGGUUCACACUCUGGUCCUGCUGAAGACCCAGAUGGUCCACCCCUUGGAGGAACAGACAGCUUAUUGAUGACCAAAGUGUACCGGGAAUCCAACCCCCACGUGUCUGAUGGAUCAGAAUCCUCUAUGAGCACCAUUGAAAUCAGUGAUGAUGAAUAUAUUCCGCCAAAAAACUCUCCAUGUGGAAGCAGUUCAGAGGGCUCUUACGAUCUCACAAGAAAUGUUCCAGUGGUAAAACUGAAAAAACAGAAGACGUCGCAGAAGACUUCUCCAAGAAAGACAUGGCCUGGUACUUCUUCAGGUAAAGACAACAGGAGAGCAGAAGGAGAAAACACUGAUGACACAAAGAUGGAAAAGCUGAAGAAACAGAAGACACAGAGGACUUCUAAAAGGAAGACAGUCUUCAGUAUUUCUUCAGAUGAAGACAAUAGGGGAGCAGAAAGUGAAAACUGUGAUUACACAAAGAUGGGAAAUGUGGCAGUAUUGAAGCUGCUAAAAAAGAAAGAUGGUUCCAGAAUUUACAACAAACCCCAAUAUUGUCUGUACUGUCCUGUACACUGCUAUAAAAUGGCGAGACACUUGCUACAAAAACACUGCCAUGAAACCGCUGUGAAACAAGCAGCCUGUUUUCCUUUGAACUCAAAGGAAAGAAAAUUCCAUUUUGAAUUAAUACGAAACCAGGGAAACCGCGCACAUAACAAUGAGGUACUAAAAACUGGUAGAGGAACACUGAUUCCAAGGCGGCGAGCUGCAAAAGCAUUGAAAGCAAAUGACUAUACGUAUUGCAUUAACUGUGAGGCUUUGCUAAAAAGAAAUGGAUUAUUGAGUCACAUGUCAAGGUGCAAGCUUUCAAGAAAAUGCAGAGAACCAAAGCCAGGUAAAAGUUGGAUCUAGGCACUUCCGCACACACAAAUAUAUAUAUGUUUCUGAGUACAUGUCUAUCUUCAUGUCAGAUUUGGUUUUGUUGUCCCUGCUUUUCAGAGGAAGUAGUGGUGGAAGCUGUGGAUAGUGAUCUCUCACAGACAGAGGCAAACUCAUCAUUCUGCU
RNAcentral lists this long non-coding RNA (1107 nucleotides) under Sparus aurata (gilthead seabream). RNAcentral describes it as "lncRNA (ENSSAUG00010001368.1)". The record is from RNAcentral. Lineage: Eukaryota; Metazoa; Chordata; Actinopteri; Spariformes; Sparidae.